This 277-nucleotide long non-coding RNA is filed under the name Elaeis guineensis (African oil palm). RNAcentral's name for it is "long non-coding RNA (EGUI_LNC001695)". The record is from RNAcentral. Lineage: Eukaryota; Viridiplantae; Streptophyta; Magnoliopsida; Arecales; Arecaceae.
GUUUGACUUGAAAGAAUGGGGUAUUAGAAAAUCAUUCUACCCAGAGCCAAUAAGGGGAGAACUGUAGAGACUCUCUCAUACAUGCUAUAUUAUGAAUGCCUCCGAACAGUCCACAUUUUUUUGUGUGUUAGAGAAUAUAAAGGUUCCAGAUGGGUACUCAAGCAAUAUAUCAAAGGUUGUGAAUAGUAAGGAUAUGAGACUUAGUGGACAUGAUUACUAUGUAUUGAUGCAAGAGUUGAUCCUAAUAGCUAUUCACCAUGUGUUGUCUAAAAAUGUG